This 779-nucleotide ribosomal RNA is filed under the name uncultured Neocallimastigales. RNAcentral describes it as "partial large subunit ribosomal RNA". It matches the Rfam family "Eukaryotic large subunit ribosomal RNA", at positions 24 to 605 of the family's 3401-position model. Lineage: Eukaryota; Fungi; Neocallimastigomycota; Neocallimastigomycetes; Neocallimastigales. The record is from RNAcentral.
CAUCACUACGCUAGAUGCAUAUCAAUAAGCGGAGGAAAAGAAACUAACUAGGAUUCCCUUAGUAACGGCGAGUGAAGCGGGAAGAGCUCAAAUUUGAAAUCUUCAAGGGUUCUACCUUUACGAAUUGUAGUUUAAAGAAGUGUUUUCUGUUGGAGUUUCGGUAAAAGUUCUUUGGAAUAGGACAUCAUAGAGGGUGAGAAUCCCGUAUUUGACCAGUUACUUUCCAGCUGUGUGAUACACUUUCAAAGAGUCGGAUUGUUUGGGAAUGCAGUCCAAAAUGGGUGGUAAAUUUCAUCUAAAGCUAAAUAUUGGCGAGAGACCGAUAGCGAACAAGUACCGUGAGGGAAAGAUGAAAAGAACUUUGAAAAGAGAGUUAAACAGUACGUGAAAUUGUCAAAAGGGAAGCGUUUGACACCAGUGUUGUUUAGUUGAAAAUCAAUUCAAUAAUUUUUGAUUUUGAGUAGUAUUGACUUCAUCAGCUUGCUGCUUUCUUUUCAGAAAUUAUUGAAUGCACUUUUCAGUUAACAAGUCAACAUCAAUUUCUUUUGUUGUAAAAGGGUAAGAGGAAGGUGGCUUACGCUUCGGCGUAAGUGUUUAUAGCCUUUUACCUCUGCAAUCGGAGAGAUUGAGGACAGCAGCGUAGACUCCUUCGGGGUUAGAUACACUUGUGCUAAGCUAUAGCCUUGUAUAGACAACUUGUUGACUACGCUCAGUCAUGUAGCUUACUCGCUUAGUGCUAUUUUACCUACGCUUAGGAUGUUGACACACGCGCGUGCUCG